Molecule: long non-coding RNA, 214 nt
Filed under: Lathyrus oleraceus (garden pea)
Lineage: Eukaryota; Viridiplantae; Streptophyta; Magnoliopsida; Fabales; Fabaceae
Description: Pisum sativum (pea) long non-coding RNA (PSAT_LNC009652)
Source: RNAcentral
CACUUUCAUCUCAAACAUUUGAUAAGUUUUUCAUUUUUUUAUGCAUGUAAUGUAGUUUCUUAAUAGAUUCUAGUUAAGCUACAUUAAGUUACAUCCAAUAAAAAUUAGUUAAGCUACAUUAGGCUACAUCCUCGGUUUGCAUCUGUCACAUUUGGUUGUAGCGUGCGUGAUGAAGUUUGUCAUUGAUACGAGAAAAUUCAGAUUUCAAAAUUCG